Molecule: small RNA, 28 nt
Filed under: Bombyx mori (domestic silkworm)
Lineage: Eukaryota; Metazoa; Arthropoda; Insecta; Lepidoptera; Bombycidae
Description: ovarian small RNA-35473
Source: RNAcentral
UGUAUCGUUAACAGGGGCUCGGUCGCGA